RNAcentral lists this ribosomal RNA (881 nucleotides) under Anastrepha fraterculus. RNAcentral describes it as "partial 16S ribosomal RNA". Lineage: Eukaryota; Metazoa; Arthropoda; Insecta; Diptera; Tephritidae. The record is from RNAcentral.
UAGUUUUUUUAGAAAUAAAUUUAAUUUACAAAUUUUUAAUUUUUGAUUUAUUUUUUUUAAUUUAAAAAUUUAUUAAUUUGAAUAUUUUAAGGGAUAAGCUUUAAAAUAAAAUAUUAAAAAUCAUUGAAUAAUUUAUUUAAAAUGUAUGCAUAGAAUUAGCAAUCAUUUAUAAGUUUGUUAUAAAUUAUUUUAUAAUUUUAUAUUAUUUAAUUUUAUUUUCAUUGAAUUUAUAAAAAUUUUUUUAUUAAUUUUAAAAUAAAAAGUAAUAAUGAUCAAAUUAGUAUAUUUAAUUAUAUUGUUAAAAUAUUUUAUAUUGAGAAGUUUAUAUAAAGAACUCGGCAAAUUUUAUUUAUACUCGCCUGUUUAACAAAAACAUGUCUUUUUGAAUUAAAUUUAAAGUCUGACCUGCCCACUGAAUAAUUUUAAAUGGCCGCAGUAUUUUGACUGUGCAAAGGUAGCAUAAUCAUUAGUCUUUUAAUUGGAGGCUGGUAUGAACGGUUGGACGAAGUAUAAGCUGUUUCAUAUAAAUUUAUAAUAGAAUUUUAUAUUUUAGUUAAAAAGCUAAAAUUUUAUUAAAAGACGAGAAGACCCUAUAAAUCUUUAUAUUUAAUAUAAACUAAAUUUUUUUGAUUUAUUUUAUUUUUUUUAUAUUAAUUAUUUUGUUGGGGUGAUAUUAAAAUUUAAUGAACUUUUAAUUUUUUAAAUCAUUAAUUUAUGAAUUAUUGAUCCAUUAAUAUUGAUUAUAAGAUUAAGUUACUUUAGGGAUAACAGCGUAAUUUUUUUUGAGUAUUCAUAUCGACAAAAAAGUUUGCGACCUCGAUGUUGGAUUAAGGUAUAAUUUUGGGUGUAGCCGUUCAAAAAUUAAGUCUGUUCGACUUUUA